UGCGCGCGACGGCGCCGCCGGACUCCCCCGGACCGCGCUCCCGCGCACGCCUGACCGGAGCACCCCGCUUCACGGGGGCGUUCUGCGCGUCCUUCCUCCCCGGCUGCCUAGAUCACACGGCCCCGUUUCAUUCAUUUUUACUGAAUAACGGUCGUUGGACAAUUUAGAGAAGCAGCAGAAACCACGAGAAAAACAGUGGAGUCAAACGGCGAUUUCCUCAAUCCUCUUUUUUUGUUUCCCUUGCAUUUUUUAUGGGAGAAACUGAACGGUUUGUUCUGAAGAAGUUGACAUUCUGGACUUUGUAGCUGCAGGUACAUGGGCUUCUACAAUUUCGUCUAUUUCAUCCUGCAGUUAUUUUCACGGGUCUCUGUGUCCACCACUAUCUGGAAUCUCUGAGAUGGCGCUGUUGUAGGAGCAAGGUAUACAAUGAUGAUCAAGGCAGAUGCAGCCCUUACCUUCAGGUCGUGGAGUCCGGAUACAGACUGGAGGCAGAGGCAGCUGUAAGAUGUGUGACAAAUGCUGCGCUGGAUCAGCCCAUGGUAUUAGGAGAGCAGCCUCCCAAAGUGCUGGGAUUGCAGGUGCGAGCCACCGGGUCCAGCCUCUCAGGCGAUUUUCAUACCUGCAUACUCUGAUCACUACGCUGUUAAACAGUCAAGGAGGCUGAGUGCCACGUGCUGACAUCACUAAGAUCAAUACAGCAAACUCUGAAAGAUGGACGGAGAGACAGGAGAUGGUCCUUUAUAAUGCAGUGUGAUCUGUGCUGCAAUAGAGUUUUGGAAGCUAGAAGUUCAAAACGAGGUGUUGGCAGCACCAUGCUCUCUCUGAAGAUGCUAGGAAGAAUCUGCUCCAUGCCUUUCCAUUCGCUUCUGGGGUUUCCUGCAAGCCCUGACAUUCCUUGGCUUGUAGAUACACCACCCCAGUUUCCGCCCCCAUCAUCACAUGGCCUCCUCUCUGUGUGUGCCUCUGCGUUCCCUCUAUUCUUCUUCUAAGGACACCGACACCAGUCAUAGUGGAUUAAGGGUCCACUCCUAACCAAUUACAUCUGCAACAACCCUAUUUCCAAAUAAAGUCACAUUC
Homo sapiens (human) is the source of this 1077-nucleotide long non-coding RNA. RefSeq annotates it as long independently transcribed non-coding RNA 1388. The transcript has 8 exons. The record is from RefSeq and is marked validated. Lineage: Eukaryota; Metazoa; Chordata; Mammalia; Primates; Hominidae.